This 252-nucleotide ribosomal RNA is filed under the name uncultured prokaryote. RNAcentral describes it as "partial 16S ribosomal RNA". It matches the Rfam family "Bacterial small subunit ribosomal RNA", at positions 524 to 776 of the family's 1533-position model. The record is from RNAcentral.
GACGAAGGUGGCUAGCGUUAUUCGGAUUUACUGGGCAUAAAGCGCGCGUAGGCGGCUUGGCAAGUCGGAGGUGAAAGCCUGCAGCUCAACUGCGGUGUGUCUCCGAAACUGCCGAGCUUGAGUGCGGGAGGGGUGAUUGGAACUCCAGGUGUAGCGGUGAAAUGCGUAGAUAUCUGGAGGAACACCAGAGGCGAAGGCGAAUCACUGGACCGCAACUGACGCUGAGGCGCGAAAGCUAGGGGAGCAAACAGG